This 497-nucleotide ribosomal RNA is filed under the name uncultured bacterium. RNAcentral describes it as "partial 16S ribosomal RNA". It matches the Rfam family "Bacterial small subunit ribosomal RNA", at positions 28 to 507 of the family's 1533-position model. The record is from RNAcentral.
GACGAACGCUGGCGGCGUGCCUAAUACAUGCAAGUUGAGCGCUGAAGGUUGGUACUUGUACCAACUGGAUGAGCAGCGAACGGGUGAGUAACGCGUGGGGAAUCUGCCUUUGAGCGGGGGACAACAUUUGGAAACGAAUGCUAAUACCGCAUAAAAACUUUAAACACAAGUUUUAAGUUUGAAAGAUGCAAUUGCAUCACUCAAAGAUGAUCCCGCGUUGUAUUAGCUAGUUGGUGAGGUAAAGGCUCACCAAGGCGAUGAUACAUAGCCGACCUGAGAGGGUGAUCGGCCACAUUGGGACUGGGACACGGCCCAAACUCCUACGGGAGGCAGCAGUAGGGAAUCUUCGGCAAUGGACGAAAGUCUGACCGAGCAACGCCGCGUGAGGGAAGAAGGGUUUCGGAUCGUAAAACUCUGUUGGUAGAGAAGAACGUUGGUGAGAGUGGAAAGCUCAUCAAGUGACGGUAACUACCCAGAAAGGGACGGCUAACUACGUG